UACGUAGGGUGCAAGCGUUGUCCGGAUUAUUGGGCGUAAAGAGCUCGUAGGCGGUUUGUUGCGUCGGCUGUGAAAUCCCGAGGCUCAACCUCGGGUCUGCAGUCGAUACGAGCAAACUAGAGUGUUGCAGGGGAGACUGGAAUUCCUGGUGUAGCGGUGAAAUGCGCAGAUAUCAGGAGGAACACCGGUGGCGAAGGCGGGGUCUCUGGGGCAACAACUG
This 220-nucleotide ribosomal RNA is filed under the name uncultured bacterium. RNAcentral describes it as "partial 16S ribosomal RNA". It matches the Rfam family "Bacterial small subunit ribosomal RNA", at positions 524 to 742 of the family's 1533-position model. The record is from RNAcentral.